GUAGGUGGCAAGCGUUGUCCGGAAUUAUUGGGCGUAAAGCGCGCGCAGGCGGUUCUUUAAGUCUGAUGUGAAAGCCCACGGCUCAACCGUGGAGGGUCAUUGGAAACUGGAGAACUUGAGUACAGAAGAGGAAGGCGGAAUUCCACGUGUAGCGGUGAAAUGCGUAGAGAUGUGGAGGAACACCAGUGGCGAAGGCGGCUUUCUGGUCUGUAACUGACGCUGAGGCGCGAAAGCGUGGGGAGCAAACAGGAUUAGAUACCCUGGUAGUCCACGCCGUAAACGAUGAGUGCUAAGUGUUAGGGGGUUUCCGCCCCCCUUAGUGCUGCAGCUAACGCAUUAAGCACUCCGCCUGGGAUACGGCCGCAAGGCUG
Molecule: ribosomal RNA, 371 nt
Filed under: uncultured organism
Description: partial 16S ribosomal RNA
Rfam family: Bacterial small subunit ribosomal RNA
Source: RNAcentral